UUGCCAGACUCCUACGGGAGGCAGCAGUGGGGAAUAUUGCACAAUGGGGGAAACCCUGAUGCAGCGACGCCGCGUGAGUGAAGAAGUAUUUCGGUAUGUAAAGCUCUAUCAGCAGGGAAGAAAAUGACGGUACCUGGCUAAGAAGCCCCGGCUAACUACGUGCCAGCAGCCGCGGUAAUACGUAGGGGGCAAGCGUUAUCCGGAUUUACUGGGUGUAAAGGGAGCGUAGACGGCCAGACAAGUCAGAAGUGAAAGCCCAGGGCUCAACUCUGGGACUGCUUUUGAAACUGCCGGGCUGGAGUGCAGGAGAGGUAAGCGGAAUUCCUAGUGUAGCGGUGAGAUGCGUAGAUAUUAGGAGGAACACCAGUGGCGAAGGCGGCUUACUGGACUGUAACUGACGUUGAGGCUCGAAAGCGUGGGGAGCAAACAGGAUUAGAUACCCCGGUAC
This 448-nucleotide ribosomal RNA is filed under the name uncultured bacterium. Its description in RNAcentral is "bacterial SSU rRNA". It matches the Rfam family "Bacterial small subunit ribosomal RNA", at positions 328 to 793 of the family's 1533-position model. The record is from RNAcentral.